AUUGAACGCUGGCGGCAUGCCUUACACAUGCAAGUCGAACGGCAGCACGGAGCUUGCUCUGGUGGCGAGUGGCGAACGGGUGAGUAAUAUAUCGGAACGUACCCUAGAGUGGGGGAUAACGUAGCGAAAGUUACGCUAAUACCGCAUACGAUCUAAGGAUGAAAGUGGGGGAUCGCAAGACCUCAUGCUCGUGGAGCGGCCGAUAUCUGAUUAGCUAGUUGGUAGGGUAAAAGCCUACCAAGGCAUCGAUCAGUAGCUGGUCUGAGAGGACGACCAGCCACACUGGAACUGAGACACGGUCCAGACUCCUACGGGAGGCAGCAGUGGGGAAUUUUGGACAAUGGGCGAAAGCCUGAUCCAGCAAUGCCGCGUGAGUGAAGAAGGCCUUCGGGUUGUAAAGCUCUUUUGUCAGGGAAGAAACGGUGAAAGCUAAUAUCUUUUGCUAAUGACGGUACCUGAAGAAUAAGCACCGGCUAACUACGUGCCAGCAGCCGCGGUAAUACGUAGGGUGCAAGCGUUAAUCGGAAUUACUGGGCGUAAAGCGUGCGCAGGCGGUUUUGUAAGUCUGAUGUGAAAUCCCCGGGCUCAACCUGGGAAUUGCAUUGGAGACUGCAAGGCUAGAAUCUGGCAGAGGGGGGUAGAAUUCCACGUGUAGCAGUGAAAUGCGUAGAUAUGUGGAGGAACACCGAUGGCGAAGGCAGCCCCCUGGGUCAAGAUUGACGCUCAUGCACGAAAGCGUGGGGAGCAAACAGGAUUAGAUACCCUGGUAGUCCACGCCCUAAACGAUGUCUACUAGUUGUCGGGUCUUAAUUGACUUGGUAACGCAGCUAACGCGUGAAGUAGACCGCCUGGGGAGUACGGUCGCAAGAUUAAAACUCAAAGGAAUUGACGGGGACCCGCACAAGCGGUGGAUGAUGUGGAUUAAUUCGAUGCAACGCGAAAAACCUUACCUACCCUUGACAUGGCUGGAAUCCUGAAGAGAUUUGGGAGUGCUCGAAAGAGAACCAGUACACAGGUGCUGCAUGGCUGUCGUCAGCUCGUGUCGUGAGAUGUUGGGUUAAGUCCCGCAACGAGCGCAACCCUUGUCAUUAGUUGCUACGAAAGGGCACUCUAAUGAGACUGCCGGUGACAAACCGGAGGAAGGUGGGGAUGACGUCAAGUCCUCAUGGCCCUUAUGGGUAGGGCUUCACACGUCAUACAAUGGUACAUACAGAGCGCCGCCAACCCGCGAGGGGGAGCUAAUCGCAGAAAGUGUAUCGUAGUCCGGAUUGUAGUCUGCAACUCGACUGCAUGAAGUUGGAAUCGCUAGUAAUCGCGGAUCAGCAUGUCGCGGUGAAUACGUUCCCGGGUCU
Molecule: ribosomal RNA, 1352 nt
Filed under: uncultured bacterium
Lineage: Bacteria
Description: bacterial SSU rRNA
Rfam family: Bacterial small subunit ribosomal RNA
Source: RNAcentral